UACGAAGGGGGCUAGCGUUGUUCGGAAUUACUGGGCGUAAAGCGCACGUAGGCGGAUUUGUAAGUCAGGGGUGAAAUCCCGGGGCUCAACCUCGGAACUGCCUUUGAUACUGCAAGUCUUGAGUCCGAUAGAGGUGAGUGGAAUUCCUAGUGUAGAGGUGAAAUUCGUAGAUAUUAGGAAGAACACCAGUGGCGAAGGUGGCUCACUGGAUCGGUACUGACGCUGAGGCGCGAAAGCGUGGGGAGCAAACGGG
This 253-nucleotide ribosomal RNA is filed under the name uncultured bacterium. Its description in RNAcentral is "partial 16S ribosomal RNA". It matches the Rfam family "Bacterial small subunit ribosomal RNA", at positions 524 to 776 of the family's 1533-position model. The record is from RNAcentral.